CGGCUUAAUUUUUCAUCGCUAAUACCAUCGCUAAUACUUCAAAAUUUUAUAGUGUAGAUCUAUGAGAUAGAUCUAUUAGGAUGCCAGUUUCACAAAAGAUGUAUAUAGAAGAGGUACUGAAGGAGUUCGAUGUGAAAAAUCCUAAAAGAAUUUCUACCCCUUGGGUAUGGAAUUAAUCUCUCAGAGAAGAUGUGUGGGACACAUCCGUAGAGAUACAGUAUAUGAGCU
This 228-nucleotide long non-coding RNA is filed under the name Elaeis guineensis (African oil palm). RNAcentral's name for it is "long non-coding RNA (EGUI_LNC009685)". Lineage: Eukaryota; Viridiplantae; Streptophyta; Magnoliopsida; Arecales; Arecaceae. The record is from RNAcentral.